Molecule: unclassified non-coding RNA, 1212 nt
Filed under: Hevea brasiliensis (rubber tree)
Lineage: Eukaryota; Viridiplantae; Streptophyta; Magnoliopsida; Malpighiales; Euphorbiaceae
Source: RNAcentral
GAAAGAUUCCAUUGAAAGUUCAGAUCUUUUGAAAAUAUAUGACAAAUAUUAGUUGAUGUAAUUUUCCUGAACAACACAUCUGUUUGAUACUCGAUAGAACACCAGAUGCAGGCCACAUUCCAACAAAAAAAGAAUAGAGCCUUAAAUCUAACUAAAGUUUCCUAUUUUAUGACAAUUAAAAAGAAAAAGAAGGAUAUAUCUGCAUACAAGGAGACCCAGCUUAACAUCUGCAAUCAGCCCUAAAAUCUCGACCACUGCAGAGAUGAUUAUUCUUCAAUGGUUAUUGAAUUCUUCAGUUGUGCUGUCAUCUUCGUGAUCUUUAGAAUGGUUCUCCAUGCAUUUCAUGAGAAACUUAAAGGUCUCAAUCUCGCAUGGGAUUGUGAGCCCGCCACUAUGAUCAAACCCAAACUCCUCUUCUGAUUUAUCUAGCAAAGCCUUGAACAGAAAAUGGCUCAGGCAGCUAGUGGGGAUAAUAAAUCUCCGAAGCUCUUGCCCAACAUAAACCGCUAGAUACCCUUUGGGGACAUCAGGUGGCAAUCCAGGGCUGUGGCAGCUUUCGUCAUCUGAAUCACAACAAUUCUUAAUGUUCGUUAGCCUUUUAUUAAUUGCUGGAGAAAUGCCCCCAUGAGUGUUGCUCUGCUGGGGAGUUGUUGCCUUCAAGCCAAUUGUAAUAGAUUGCCACUUCUGGAGAAUUUCUUUUAGCCUAACAAUCUGCCGAAUUCCAGUCACCUUGCUGCCACCAUUGUCAUCCAUUGCUAAACGUUUUACAACAACAGUGAAAAAAAUCCCAGAAUCGAAUUCAGGAUUUCUGAUUCCAGACAUGCAAGUCUCAUCAGAUCCUCUUCCACUGAAAGGGAGAAGAAGGCGGAAAUCAGUUCAUGGAAAGGCAAAGUAAAAACGCCAUUGUAGCUUCAGAAUAAUGGGGAGGGGCAAGGGAAAGAACAGAGCAACGAGCUCUCUUGAGCGAGAAAGAGAGAAUUUUUUAAAAAAUUUCCACAAGAGAAACUAUUCCUUUCCUUGGUGUGGAAUCAAAAAGCCAAAAGGUGCAUGUUUUAUAACGUGAAUGAAGCUAGCAAUAAAUUAUUAGUGGCUGCACCGGCGGUUUCGGCCAGUCCGUUUUUGAGCUAGCGGUUUAUAAUGCAAUGGAUGCCACAGAGCCCUGCGAUUUGUGAGCGGAGAGAAAUUAGUGGUAGUUAGUACCAUUAAUUAGAC